This 69-nucleotide transfer RNA is filed under the name Tylototriton asperrimus (black knobby newt). RNAcentral's name for it is "tRNA-Ala". It matches the Rfam family "tRNA". From Rfam's summary of the family: Transfer RNA (tRNA) molecules are approximately 80 nucleotides in length. Their secondary structure includes four short double-helical elements and three loops (D, anti-codon, and T loops). The record is from RNAcentral. Lineage: Eukaryota; Metazoa; Chordata; Amphibia; Caudata; Salamandridae.
AAGGCCUUAGCUUAGUUAAAGUGUCUGAGUUGCAUUCAGAAGAUGUGGGGUAGAGUCCUGCAGGUCUUA